GCACCCAUAGCUCAACUGGAUAGAGCAUCGGUCUACGGAACCGAAGGUUGCAGGUUCGACUCCUGCUGGGUGUA
This 74-nucleotide transfer RNA is filed under the name Gemmataceae bacterium. RNAcentral describes it as "tRNA-Arg". It matches the Rfam family "tRNA". Rfam says of the family: Transfer RNA (tRNA) molecules are approximately 80 nucleotides in length. Their secondary structure includes four short double-helical elements and three loops (D, anti-codon, and T loops). Further hydrogen bonds mediate the characteristic L-shaped molecular structure. tRNAs have two regions of fundamental functional importance: the anti-codon, which is responsible for specific mRNA codon recognition, and the 3' end, to which the tRNAs corresponding amino acid is attached (by aminoacyl-tRNA synthetases). tRNAs cope with the degeneracy of the genetic code in two manners: having more than one tRNA (with a specific anti-codon) for a particular amino acid; and 'wobble' base-pairing, i.e. permitting non-standard base-pairing at the 3rd anti-codon position. Lineage: Bacteria; Pseudomonadati; Planctomycetota; Planctomycetia; Gemmatales; Gemmataceae. The record is from RNAcentral. RNAcentral also lists the same sequence under 3 other names.